GGCAUAGUGGUUAAAAGUUUGGCUGCUAACCAAAAGGUUGGUGGUUCAAAUCCACCAGGUGCUC
This 64-nucleotide transfer RNA is filed under the name Loxodonta africana (African savanna elephant). It matches the Rfam family "tRNA". From Rfam's summary of the family: Transfer RNA (tRNA) molecules are approximately 80 nucleotides in length. Their secondary structure includes four short double-helical elements and three loops (D, anti-codon, and T loops). Further hydrogen bonds mediate the characteristic L-shaped molecular structure. tRNAs have two regions of fundamental functional importance: the anti-codon, which is responsible for specific mRNA codon recognition, and the 3' end, to which the tRNAs corresponding amino acid is attached (by aminoacyl-tRNA synthetases). tRNAs cope with the degeneracy of the genetic code in two manners: having more than one tRNA (with a specific anti-codon) for a particular amino acid; and 'wobble' base-pairing, i.e. permitting non-standard base-pairing at the 3rd anti-codon position. The record is from Rfam by way of RNAcentral. Lineage: Eukaryota; Metazoa; Chordata; Mammalia; Proboscidea; Elephantidae.